UAGUAGCCGAAGCGUGGAUCUUACAAAUAGGAAACCUCUUCUCUAUACUAAACCUGACCGAAGAAUAAAAAGUCUCUCUUGUAGCCUUCAUGUUAAAUAGUGAGGCCGAACACUAGUGGCGACUUAAGAAAGAAGUCCUGCCUACCCCUACUACCAUGGAGGUUUUCAUGGAUUUUUUCUUUGAUAACUUCUUCCCUGCUUAUGUUCGAAAAAAGAAAGAGGAGAAAUU
This 229-nucleotide long non-coding RNA is filed under the name Carica papaya (papaya). RNAcentral describes it as "long non-coding RNA (CPAP_LNC003640)". Lineage: Eukaryota; Viridiplantae; Streptophyta; Magnoliopsida; Brassicales; Caricaceae. The record is from RNAcentral.